GACGAACGCUGGCGGCGUGCUUAACACAUGCAAGUCGAACGGAAAGGCCCUGCUUUUGUGGGGUGCUCGAGUGGCGAACGGGUGAGUAACACGUGAGUAACCUGCCCUUGACUUUGGGAUAACUUCAGGAAACUGGGGCUAAUACCGGAUAGGAGCUCCUGCUGCAUGGUGGGGGUUGGAAAGUUUCGGCGGUUGGGGAUGGACUCGCGGCUUAUCAGCUUGUUGGUGGGGUAGUGGCUUACCAAGGCUUUGACGGGUAGCCGGCCUGAGAGGGUGACCGGCCACAUUGGGACUGAGAUACGGCCCAGACUCCUACGGGAGGCAGCAGUGGGGAAUAUUGCACAAUGGGCGGAAGCCUGAUGCAGCAACGCCGCGUGCGGGAUGACGGCCUUCGGGUUGUAAACCGCUUUCGCCUGUGACGAAGCGUGAGUGACGGUAAUGGGUAAAGAAGCACCGGCUAACUACGUGCCAGCAGCCGCGGUGAUACGUAGGGUGCGAGCGUUGUCCGGAUUUAUUGGGCGUAAAGGGCUCGUAGGUGGUUGAUCGCGUCGGAAGUGUAAUCUUGGGGCUUAACCCUGAGCGUGCUUUCGAUACGGGUUGACUUGAGGAAGGUAGGGGAGAAUGGAAUUCCUGGUGGAGCGGUGGAAUGCGCAGAUAUCAGGAGGAACACCAGUGGCGAAGGCGGUUCUCUGGGCCUUUCCUGACGCUGAGGAGCGAAAGCGUGGGGAGCGAACAGGCUUAGAUACCCUGGUAGUCCACGCUGUAAACGGUGGGUACUAGGUGUGGGGUCCAUUCCACGGGUUCCGUGCCGUAGCUAACGCUUUAAGUACCCCGCCUGGGGAGUACGGCCGCAAGGCUAAAACUCAAAGGAAUUGACGGGGCCCCGCACAAGCGGCGGAGCAUGCGGAUUAAUUCGAUGCAACGCGUAGAACCUUACCUGGGUUUGACAUGGAUCGGGAGUGCUCAGAGAUGGGUGUGCCUCUUUUGGGGUCGGUUCACAGGUGGUGCAUGGCUGUCGUCAGCUCGUGUCGUGAGAUGUUGGGUUAAGUCCCGCAACGAGCGCAACCCUUGUUCACUGUUGCCAGCACGUUAUGGUGGGGACUCAGUGGAGACCGCCGGGGUCAACUCGGAGGAAGGUGGGGAUGACGUCAGGUCAUCAUGCCCCUUAUGUCCAGGGCUUCACGCAUGCUACAAUGGCUGGUACAGAGAGUGGCGAGCCUGUGAGGGUGAGCGAAUCUCGGAAAGUCGGUCUCGGUUCGGAUUGGGGUCUGCAACUCGACCUCAUGAAGUCGGAGUCGCUAGUAAUCGCAGAUCAGCAACGCUGCGGUGAAUACGUUCCCGGGGC
RNAcentral lists this ribosomal RNA (1345 nucleotides) under uncultured bacterium. Its description in RNAcentral is "partial 16S ribosomal RNA". It matches the Rfam family "Bacterial small subunit ribosomal RNA", at positions 28 to 1380 of the family's 1533-position model. The record is from RNAcentral.